GCAAUUGGGCUCAGUGGUAGAAUUCUCGCCUUCCAUGUGGGAGACCUGGGUUUGAUUCCCAGCCAAUGCA
This 70-nucleotide transfer RNA is filed under the name Loxodonta africana (African savanna elephant). It matches the Rfam family "tRNA". From Rfam's summary of the family: Transfer RNA (tRNA) molecules are approximately 80 nucleotides in length. Their secondary structure includes four short double-helical elements and three loops (D, anti-codon, and T loops). Further hydrogen bonds mediate the characteristic L-shaped molecular structure. tRNAs have two regions of fundamental functional importance: the anti-codon, which is responsible for specific mRNA codon recognition, and the 3' end, to which the tRNAs corresponding amino acid is attached (by aminoacyl-tRNA synthetases). tRNAs cope with the degeneracy of the genetic code in two manners: having more than one tRNA (with a specific anti-codon) for a particular amino acid; and 'wobble' base-pairing, i.e. permitting non-standard base-pairing at the 3rd anti-codon position. Lineage: Eukaryota; Metazoa; Chordata; Mammalia; Proboscidea; Elephantidae. The record is from Rfam by way of RNAcentral.